RNAcentral lists this ribosomal RNA (120 nucleotides) under Castor canadensis (American beaver). The record is from RNAcentral. Lineage: Eukaryota; Metazoa; Chordata; Mammalia; Rodentia; Castoridae.
GUCUAUGGCCAUACCACCCUAAACGUGCCCAAUCUCGUCUGGUCUUGGAAGCUAAGCAGGGUCGGGCCUGGUUAGUACCUGGAUGGGACACAGAUUUUCAGAAGAGACUGCUCAGAGACA